This 1946-nucleotide long non-coding RNA is filed under the name Nicotiana benthamiana. Its description in RNAcentral is "long non-coding RNA (NBEN_LNC020376)". Lineage: Eukaryota; Viridiplantae; Streptophyta; Magnoliopsida; Solanales; Solanaceae. The record is from RNAcentral.
AUUUUAAGGACUGAAAUGAAAAUAAAAAGAAGAAGAAGAGAAUGAGAAAAAGAAGAACGGAAGGAAAAAAAAUUGUCACCGUUUCAUUGCUAUUUUAAGAAUAAAAUAGUGAAAGAAAUCACAUACCUGGGCUUGAACUCGAUACUUAAACUUUGCUCUACUGCUCAAUGAUGAUUUGAAAAGAGACACCGUUUUUUAAACGUUGGCAGUCAAAUAAAAUAUUGAAAUGGUCGCUUCUCACUUCAAGCGCGCUUCUCGUUUUUUGGCAGAAUAGCACGCUUCAACAAACCUGCUAUGCUUCUCGCUUCGUUUAGGGCUGAAGUACGCGCUUUUCACAACACUGGUAGGUUAUUUUUAUUUUGUGGAUAAAUGCAUAGGCGUUAACAUGACAUUAGAGUAUACAAACUAUCUCUGAGGUGGUUUUCUAUUUAGUUACCUUUGUCCCAUGCAAGCCAAAACUGAUCGCAAAAAGGAGCUGAUUAACCUGCAAAUAUUACCUGGUGUAGCAGUACUGUUUUACUUCCCCCUAGAGCAAAGAUCACUCUCAAGAGCCUGAAAAUUACAAUUGAAUAACCAUUAUUAUAGCUGAACCGGGGAAACAUAUGCGAUAAUUUGCGGGAAAAAUAUGAUAUAUUAGUGUUGCUUGUAUACAGCUCCAUGUGCACCGCACCAUAAGUAACAUGAAUGGUGGAGCACAAUGAAGCAUCUACAAAUAUUUUUUCCACGAAUGCUGGCUAAUUAGAUUUCUUCUAAGGUAAUAAUUUAAGCAGAUAAACCAAUUCAGUUGCAAUCUAUAUAGGAAAAUACAAUUUUGAGGAAAAAGAGAAACCCGUUGUAGAAUUAUUGACAUGCAUGUAAGCAAUCAACAAAAAACAUCCCGAAAGAUGGACGGGUCUUAAAUUUUAUUCAAAACAGCAAAUAUGAAAAUCAGAUUUGCAAGUAACUACUAUAAAUUAACUUUCACUAUAUUCAUCCCAAGACAUAGCUAACACAUGCAAGACAUAGGAUAAUUCAGUCAAAAUCAGAGAAGGACAGAACCUAAAAUUAGAAGAUGAAAAUUGAAAAACAUAAAGCAUGAAUAAAGCCACAAUAUAGAGGAAGAUGAAGAACAAUCCUGCAAAAAUUGAAAUAGACAAAUUCUGGAAAAACAUUUGAAGGAACAAAAUUAGUGAAAAAAAGAAAGAGGGGGAAUAAGAAGAAUGAUUUUUAACACGAAUCAGAAAUAGAAGAAGAUGUAACAACGUAGAGGAAUAACAACAAUAAAAUCCAUUAAAGGUUUUAAUUUGGGGCUCAUUAGGCUUCACACAUAAGACCCAAUGUGGUCCAACCAUGCACCAGGCUGCCGUAUAAUAAUUUUAAAUAUAUACAGCCAAGCAUCUACUCUAAAGCAUGCAUCUACCAAAAUAUGUUACUAGCAUGUAUAGAAUCCAGCAAGCAAAUAUCAAAACCAAAAGAAGGAAAUCUAUCAUGUUCUCUUCAAACUAAGAAAGAAUAAAAUAUAUUUAAACCAGAAAUAGAGUAAUGGCCAGGAGGAAAAAAAAGCACCAUAAUGUUUUUUGUAUGAAACAAAAUAACUGACAAAACAAAAAUUGUUGAUCGCCCCAAGCAUGAAAAAAUAGAGAAGACAAAGUAGCCAUAAAGGUACUUACAAAACUAUGAAAUAUGUGAUUGACCACGCUCUUUUUUUAAGGCACCUGACAUUAAUAAUCUUAUCAUUAAGCUUCCUGAGUCUUUUUGCUUCUCCUUUUCAAGUUUCAAGAACAAAGUUAUAGUCUAUUAAGCAUCUAACGUUAGAAUCCAAAAGUGUAAGAUGUCCCAACUUGAUUGUAAAACAGGAACGAAACACAUGCAUUGCCGAGAAAAACAAAAGGAAGGUGUCUAAUUCCUUGGAACAUUACACAAUCAGUGUUCAUCUUCAGACAAUCCAAAAGGUAAGGCAUAAUUAU